AUUGAACGCUGGCGGCAGGCUUAACACAUGCAAGUCGAGCGGGGGAAGGUAGCUUGCUACUUGACCUAGCGGCGGACGGGUGAGUAAUGCUUAGGGAUCUGCCUAUUAGUGGGGGACAACAUCUCGAAAGGGAUGCUAAUACCGCAUACGUCCUACGGGAGAAAGCAGGGGAUCUUCGGACCUUGCGCUAAUAGAUGAGCCUAAGUCGGAUCAGCUAGUUGGUGGGGUAAAGGCCUACCAAGGCGACGAUCUGUAGCGGGUCUGAGAGGAUGAUCCGCCACACUGGGACUGAGACACGGGCCAGAAUCCUACGGGAGGCAGCAGUGGGGAAUAUUGGACAAGGGGGGGAACCCUGAUACAGCCAUGCCGCGUGUGUGAAGAAGGCCUUAUGGUUGUAAAGCACUUUAAGCGAGGAGGAGGCUACUUUAGUUAAUACCUAGAGAUAGUGGACGUUACUCGCAGAAUAAGCACCGGCUAACUCUGUGCCAGCCGCCGCGGUAA
This 501-nucleotide ribosomal RNA is filed under the name uncultured bacterium. RNAcentral describes it as "partial 16S ribosomal RNA". It matches the Rfam family "Bacterial small subunit ribosomal RNA", at positions 30 to 523 of the family's 1533-position model. The record is from RNAcentral.